Molecule: ribosomal RNA, 245 nt
Filed under: uncultured bacterium
Lineage: Bacteria
Description: partial 16S ribosomal RNA
Rfam family: Bacterial small subunit ribosomal RNA
Source: RNAcentral
UGCCGCCUACGGGAGGCAGCAGUGGGGAAUAUUGCACAAUGGGCGAAAGCCUGAUGCAGCAACGCCGCGUGAAGGAAGAAGGGUUUCGGCUCGUAAACUUCUAUCAACGGGGACGAAAGAAAUGACGGUACCUGAAUAAGAAGCCCCGGCUAACUACGUGCCAGCAGCCGCGGUAAUACGUAGGGGGCAAGCGUUAUCCGGAAUUACUGGGUGUAAAGGGUGAGUAGGCGGCAUGGGAAGCCAGA